This 158-nucleotide small RNA is filed under the name Macaca fascicularis (crab-eating macaque). Its description in RNAcentral is "Metazoan signal recognition particle RNA (ENSMFAG00000047332.1)". It matches the Rfam family "Metazoan signal recognition particle RNA", at positions 96 to 252 of the family's 299-position model. Rfam says of the family: The signal recognition particle (SRP) is a universally conserved ribonucleoprotein. It is involved in the co-translational targeting of proteins to membranes. Lineage: Eukaryota; Metazoa; Chordata; Mammalia; Primates; Cercopithecidae. The record is from Rfam by way of RNAcentral.
UGCCGACCGGGUGCCUGCACUAAGUUCGGCAUAAAUAUGGCGACCUCCUGGGAGCGGGGGGGCCACCAAGUUGCCUAAGGAUGGCUGAACUGGCCCAGGUCAGAAACGGAGCAGGUCAGAACUCCUGCACCGACCAGUAGUGGGACUGGGCCUGGGUG